RNAcentral lists this ribosomal RNA (627 nucleotides) under Marmoricola sp. Ri2Ps_5057. Its description in RNAcentral is "bacterial SSU rRNA". It matches the Rfam family "Bacterial small subunit ribosomal RNA", at positions 387 to 1027 of the family's 1533-position model. The record is from RNAcentral. Lineage: Bacteria; Bacillati; Actinomycetota; Actinomycetes; Propionibacteriales; Nocardioidaceae.
UCCAGCAACGCCGCGUGAGGGAUGACGGCCUUCGGGUUGUAAACCUCUUUCAGCGCAGACGAAGCGAAAGUGACGGUAUGCGCAGAAGAAGCACCGGCCAACUACGUGCCAGCAGCCGCGGUAAUACGUAGGGUGCGAGCGUUGUCCGGAAUUAUUGGGCGUAAAGGGCUCGUAGGCGGUUUGUUGCGUCGGGAGUGAAAACUCAGGGCUUAACCCUGAGCCUGCUUCCGAUACGGGCAGACUAGAGGUAUGCAGGGGAGAACGGAAUUCCUGGUGUAGCGGUGAAAUGCGCAGAUAUCAGGAGGAACACCGGUGGCGAAGGCGGUUCUCUGGGCAUUACCUGACGCUGAGGAGCGAAAGUGUGGGGAGCGAACAGGAUUAGAUACCCUGGUAGUCCACACCGUAAACGUUGGGCGCUAGGUGUGGGACUCAUUCCACGAGUUCCGUGCCGCAGCUAACGCAUUAAGCGCCCCGCCUGGGGAGUACGGCCGCAAGGCUAAAACUCAAAGGAAUUGACGGGGGCCCGCACAAGCGGCGGAGCAUGCGGAUUAAUUCGAUGCAACGCGAAGAACCUUACCUAGGUUUGACAUAUACGAGAAGCCUCUGGAGACAGAGGUCUCUUUGGAC